GGGGGUGACUGGUUUCGACUUCGUCAUGACUGAUCAGGGGAAGCGAGCCGAGGGUUGCGGUUGUGACCUCGUUAAUCCUGUGACCGCAAACCAAUAAGUGCCAAUGAAACGCGCACUCAGGGCCGUAUGGCCCUCGCCGCCUGAGCGAGGACCAGCCCUUGUCAGCCCGGGAUAGCCUCCGGCCCGGGACCUGGCAUCGCUAGGAGGCUCAACCGAGAAGCCCGGCCACGGGGCUGAUCGGGAAAUCUAACAGUGGCUGAGCCCGUCGGCGACUCGCCUGCGUGAUCGCCGGGGCUGAGAAAAACACAGCAGGCUGCGCUCGGAGAAGCCCUGGCCAGAUGCCGAAGGACGCGGGUUCGAUUCCCGCCACCUCCACCA
Molecule: transfer-messenger RNA, 378 nt
Filed under: Bailinhaonella thermotolerans
Lineage: Bacteria; Bacillati; Actinomycetota; Actinomycetes; Streptosporangiales; Streptosporangiaceae
Description: Standard tmRNA
Rfam family: transfer-messenger RNA
About the family: Bacterial tmRNA, also known as 10Sa RNA or SsrA, is named for its dual tRNA and mRNA-like properties. Its role is to liberate the mRNA from a stalled ribosome. To accomplish this part of the tmRNA is used as a reading frame that ends in a translation stop signal.
Source: Rfam by way of RNAcentral